GAUGAAGAACGUAGCGAAAUGCGAUAACUAGUGUGAAUUGCAGAAUUCCGUGAAUCAUCGAGUCUUUGAACGCACAUUGCGCCCGCUAGUAUUCUGGCGGGCAUGCCUGUCCGAGCGUCAUUUCAACCCUCAAGCCCCCGGGCUUGGUGUUGGGGAUCGGCGAGCCUCCGCGCCCGCCGUCCCCUAAAUCUAGUGGCGGUCUCGCUGUAGCUUCCUCUGCGUAGUAGCACACCUCGCACUGGGAAACAGCGCGGCCACGCCGUUAAACCCCCAACUUCUGAACGUUUGACCUCGGAUCAGGUAGGAAUACCCGCUGAACUUAAGCAUAUCAAUAAGCGGAGGA
This 343-nucleotide unclassified non-coding RNA is filed under the name soil metagenome. Its description in RNAcentral is "partial contains 5.8S ribosomal RNA, internal transcribed spacer 2, and large subunit ribosomal RNA". The stretch from base 1 to 120 matches the Rfam family "5.8S ribosomal RNA", at positions 35 to 154 of the family's 154-position model. The record is from RNAcentral.